CGGACUUCCACACUGGGUGCUGAACGGGUCCGAGUAUCCCAAGAUGCCAGCGCAGUUACUGAGGCCAAAAUCUGAGGAAAGGAAGAGGCGGGGGAAAAAGAAGCAGCAAAGCAUUGAACAAGAAAAAGAAACAGAGACUUGAGUUCAAGAGCAUGGCGACCAUACACAGCAAAUCAUCUCAAGGAGAGCCCACCGACAUGGAAAGGCAUGACCGGGCGAAGCUAAUCACCAUAUCCAUUAAUGAAAUGGUGGAGGGCCAAAGUGGUUGUGUGUGUGUGUGCGUCUCUUUUCUUCUGUCCUUCAGCGUCGUCUUUAUUUUAUACUUUCGUCCUUUCAUCUCUGAUAAUUGAUUCACCUCUGAAAAAGCCUUUUUUACAGCUGCUAA
Molecule: long non-coding RNA, 385 nt
Organism: Sebastes umbrosus (honeycomb rockfish)
Lineage: Eukaryota; Metazoa; Chordata; Actinopteri; Perciformes; Sebastidae
Exons: 3
Source: RefSeq, a predicted model, not a curated record